Molecule: ribosomal RNA, 484 nt
Filed under: uncultured bacterium
Lineage: Bacteria
Description: partial 16S ribosomal RNA
Rfam family: Bacterial small subunit ribosomal RNA
Source: RNAcentral
AUUGAACGCUGGCGGCAGGCCUAACACAUGCAAGUCGAGCGGAUGAAGGGAGCUUGUUCCUGGAUUUAGCGGCGGACGGGUGUGUAAUGCCUAGGAAUAUGCCUGGUAGUGGGGGAUAACGUCCGGAAACGGGCGCUAAUACUGCAUACGUCCUGAGGGAGAAAGUGGGGGAUCUUCGGACAUCAUGCUAUCAGAUGAGUCUAGGUCGGAUUAGCUAGUUGGUGGGGUAAAGGCCUACCAAGGCGACGAUCCGUAACUGGUCUGAGAGGAUGAUCAGUCACACUGGAACUUGGACACGGUCCAGACUCCUACGGGAGGCAGCAGUGGGGAAUAUUAGACAAUGGGCGAAAGCCUGAUCCAGCCAUGCCGCGUGUGUGAAGAAGGUCUUCGGAUUGUAAAGCACUUUAAGUUGGGAGGAAGGGCAGUAAGUUAAUACCUUGCUGUUUUGACGUUACCAACAGAAUAAGCACCGGCUAACUUCGUG